RNAcentral lists this ribosomal RNA (695 nucleotides) under uncultured marine bacterium. RNAcentral's name for it is "bacterial SSU rRNA". It matches the Rfam family "Bacterial small subunit ribosomal RNA", at positions 57 to 786 of the family's 1533-position model. The record is from RNAcentral.
GCAAGUCGAACGAGAAACCCGAGCUUGCUCGGGUGGACAGUGGCAGACGGCUUAGUAACGCGUGGGUAUCUACCUAGAGGUUUGGAACAACUAUUGGAAACGAUAGCUAAUACCAAAUAUUCCCUAAGGGGGAAAGAUUUAUCGCCUUUAGAUGAGCCCGCGUCGGAUUAGCAUGUUGGUAGGGUAAAGGCCUACCAAGGCAACGAUCCGUAGCUGGUCUGAGAGGAUGAUCAGCAAGAUUGGGACUGAGACACGGCCCAGACUCCUACGGGAGGCAGCAGUGGGGAAUAUUGCGCAAUGGGGGAAACCCUGACGCAGCGAUGCCGCGUGAGUGAAGAAGGCCUUAGGGUUGUAAAACUCUUUCACCGGUGAAGAUAAUGACGGUAGCCGGAGAAGAAGCCCCGGCUAACUCCGUGCCAGCAGCCGCGGUAAUACGGAGGGGGCUAACGUUGUUCGGAAUUACUGGGCGUAAAGCGCGCGUAGGCGGAUUAGACAGUUGAGGGUGAAAUCCCGGAGCUUAACUCCGGAACUGCCUUCAAUACUACUAAUCUUGAGUUCGGAAGAGGUGAGUGGAAUUCCUAGUGUAGAGGUGAAAUUCGUAGAUAUUAGGAAGAACAUCAGUGGCGAAGGCGACUCACUGGUCCGAUACUGACGCUGAGGUGCGAAAGCGUGGGGAGCAAACAGGAUUAGAUACC